Non-coding RNA from Streptomyces autolyticus, 154 nucleotides. Lineage: Bacteria; Bacillati; Actinomycetota; Actinomycetes; Kitasatosporales; Streptomycetaceae. The record is from Rfam.
AGAGGAAGCCGGUGAGAAUCCGGCGCGGUCCCGCCACUGUCACCGGGGAGCGGCCUCCCAUCGCCUGUACGGGGUCACGGCUCGUCCGUACGGUUCGUCGCGUACGUGGGGCUGGAAGACCGGGAGGGCCGCGGAUCCGGGAGCCAGGAGACUC